CUGGCGGCAUGCCUCAUACAUGCAAGUCGAACGAGAUCCUCGGAUCUAGUGGCGCACGGGUGAGUAACAUGUGGGAAUCUACCUGAAGGUUCGGAAUAACUGCGGGAAACUGUAGCUAAUACCGGAUGUGUCUGAAAAGAGAAAGAUUUAUCGCCUUCAGAUGAGCCCGCACUAGAUUAGCUAGUUGGUGAGGUAACUGCUCCACCAAGGCUACGAUCUAUAGCUGAUUUGAGAGGAUGAUCAGCCACACUGGGACUGAGACACGGCCCAGACUCCUACGGGAGGCAGCAGUAGGGAAUAUUGGACAAUGGGGGAAACCCUGAUCCAGCAAUGCCGCGUGAGUGAAGAAGGCCUUAGGGUUGUAAAACUCUUUCAUCAAUGAUGAUAAUGACAUUAGUUGAAGAAGAAGCUCCGGCUAACUUCGUGCCAGCAGCCGCGGUAAUACGAAGGGGGCUAGCGUUGUUCGGAAUCACUGGGCGUAAAGCGUAUGUAGGCGGAUCAAAAAGUUAGAUGUGAAAUCCCUGGGCUCAACCCAGGAACUGCAUUUAAAACUAGUGAUCUAGAAAUUGGUAAGGGUUAGUAGAAUUUCCAGUGUAGAGGUGAAAUUCGUAGAUAUUGGAAAGAAUACCAGAAGCGAAGGCGACUAACUAGGCCAUUUUUGACGCUGAGAUACGAAAGCGUGGGUAGCAAACAGGAUUAGAUACCCUGGUAGUCCACGCAGUAAACGAUGAGUGCUAGUCGCUGGGACAAUAGUUUCAGUGUCGUAGCUAACGCAUUAAGCACUCCGCCUGG
RNAcentral lists this ribosomal RNA (792 nucleotides) under uncultured Alphaproteobacteria bacterium. Its description in RNAcentral is "bacterial SSU rRNA". It matches the Rfam family "Bacterial small subunit ribosomal RNA", at positions 36 to 876 of the family's 1533-position model. The record is from RNAcentral. Lineage: Bacteria; Pseudomonadati; Pseudomonadota; Alphaproteobacteria.